This 73-nucleotide transfer RNA is filed under the name Bradymonadaceae bacterium TMQ3. Its description in RNAcentral is "tRNA-Thr". It matches the Rfam family "tRNA". From Rfam's summary of the family: Transfer RNA (tRNA) molecules are approximately 80 nucleotides in length. Their secondary structure includes four short double-helical elements and three loops (D, anti-codon, and T loops). The record is from RNAcentral. RNAcentral also lists the same sequence under 4 other names. Lineage: Bacteria; Deltaproteobacteria; Bradymonadales; Bradymonadaceae.
GCCAACGUAGCUCAGCUGGUAGAGCAGCUCACUCGUAAUGAGCAGGUCACCGGUUCAAAUCCGGUCGUUGGCU